CACGUAGGGGGCGAGCGUUGUCCGGAUUUAUUGGGCGUAAAGAGCUCGUAGGCGGUUUGGUAAGUCGGGUGUGAAAUCUCCAGGCUCAACCUGGAGGGGUCAUUCGAUACUGCCAUGACUAGAGUUCGGUAGGGGUGUGUGGAAUUCCUGGUGGAGCGGUGAAAUGCGCAGAUAUCAGGAGGAACACCAAUGGCGAAGGCAGCUCGCUGGGACGGUACUGACGCUGAGACGCGAAAGCGUGGGGAGCAAACAGG
RNAcentral lists this ribosomal RNA (254 nucleotides) under uncultured bacterium. Its description in RNAcentral is "partial 16S ribosomal RNA". It matches the Rfam family "Bacterial small subunit ribosomal RNA", at positions 524 to 776 of the family's 1533-position model. The record is from RNAcentral.